This 654-nucleotide ribosomal RNA is filed under the name uncultured bacterium. RNAcentral's name for it is "bacterial SSU rRNA". It matches the Rfam family "Bacterial small subunit ribosomal RNA", at positions 841 to 1503 of the family's 1533-position model. The record is from RNAcentral.
GAGCGGGACAGCGAAAGCGUUAAGCAUUCCACUUGGGGAGUACGCCGGCAACGGUGAAACUCAAAGGAAUUGACGGGGGCCCGCACAAGCGGAGGAACAUGUGGUUUAAUUCGAUGAUACGCGAGGAACUUUACCCGGGCUCAAACGCAUAAUGACGACAGUUGAAAGAUUGUUUCCUUUCGGGGCAUUAUGCGAGGUGCUGCAUGGUUGUCGUCAGCUCGUGCCGUGAGGUGUCGGCUUAAGUGCCAUAACGAGCGCAACCCCUAUCGACAGUUGCUAACGAGUCGAGUCGAGGACUCUGUCGAGACUGCCGGCGCAAGCUGUGAGGAAGGCGGGGAUGACGUCAAAUCAGCACGGCCCUUACGUCCGGGGCGACACACGUGUUACAAUGGCAGGGACAGCGGGAAGCCACCAAGCGAUUGGGCGCGGAACCCGAAACCCUGUCUCAGUUCGGAUUGGAGUCUGCAACUCGACUCCAUGAAGCUGGAUUCGCUAGUAAUCGCGCAUCAGCCAUGGCGCGGUGAAUACGUUCCCGGGCUUUGUACACACCGCCCGUCAAGCCAUGGGAGUCGGGAGUGCUUGAAGUUCGUGACCGUUUAGGAGCGACUUAGGGCAAGACUGAUGACUGGGGCUAAGUCGUAACAAGGUAACUGU